Long non-coding RNA from Numida meleagris (helmeted guineafowl), 2862 nucleotides. RefSeq lists it as uncharacterized. The record is from RefSeq and is a predicted model, not a curated record. NCBI's taxonomy places the organism in Eukaryota, Metazoa, Chordata, Aves, Galliformes, Numididae. The transcript has 2 exons.
UUCAAAUAAUGUGAGAUAGCGUGUGCCUGUGCACUUCAUCGGGGCUCGUAGGCUUGUGAAUCCAACCAUGUGAACGGGCUCUGCAUUCACAGGAAAUCACUAUAGUUUCUUCAUGCAAUCAAUUAAAUGGUACAGUGCACAGUCAUCAAAAAUGGAGCAUCCCACUGCCUGUAGUGAAGUGCUUUAUCCUAAUCUUUGCCUGCCAAGUAUCAGAGGAACACCUAUCUCUAGACUGAAUAAAUGUAAAUAGAUGUAACUCUCAGCCUAAGUUAGCAAACUUUCCAAUUUCUGGAUGUAAACUGAGAGAAUAUAAUUUCCUCAUGCUCUUCCCGAGAAAACAUUUUAAGAAAUCACAGGUGGAGGAUUUGUGAUUUUAGGGGGCCAGCGCAGCAGGUCUCCCUCUGGUGCUGCAGCCAAAACAACGGAUUCACAAGUCCUGCAAAGGUGCAUUUGGCAAAGCAGCAGCAAUUCUGUAGUAGCUGAAAUACAAAUAAAGGCGAAAGGCAAAUGCCUGAGGAUGAGUCAGCCAGGAGCCGAAUGCAUUUUCUCCUAAGUGGGCUUUUCUGUAGAUCACACUGAGACUUAGAAACCAAGAUAAGGCUGCAGGUUCUGCGCUUGAACUUUUUACUAAUCUGUGAUUAAUUGCUAGAGAAUGACAUCAGAAAUGUCCCUGCUCUUUUCCUCCUUUCUUUUUUUUCCAGCUCCUAUUUCUUCAGCCUUCUGUUCUCGUGCCUUUUCCCUUUUCUCUUUCAUUUUUUCUCCUAAUUAAAUAUAAAGUACUGCACAUUCUUGUUUAUCAUUCGCCAUAUAUAACUUUUCACCAGCAAUUCCAGAUCCAGAAAUGAUUUUAACUGGCAGUUUGUAAUUAAAUAAAGACAGAAGGUCUGUAAGUUUCAUCUGCAUAUCUGCAUUUCUUCCGUGUGCUUUUGCUUUGCACGUAACUGUGUAAAAUCAGGACUUUUUCCAUGUGCACACACAUGGACAUUUCUGCUUUCAGAGCUGAUCAGAUCGGUAUUAUUUAGGUCACACUGAGUCAGGAAGGCUGUGCUGACGGAGCAGUGUUACUGAGGAGAGUGACUUAUUUUCCUGAGAGGGGAAAAUGUGAGCGUAAUGUGCAGCUAAAUGAGAUGAAGCCCAAAAGGAUUUAACACAAAAUCGCGCUUUUCUUCUGAUUUGUCUUUGGGUAAAGCUCUACAGGUCCUGGGAACUGAGGGAGCUCCAGAUGUCGAACACCUGCAGGAACUACUUGCAGGGAACUUUCUUCGUUAUCCCUCGGUCAUGACUGUGGAAUUUGAGUUUAUUUAACUUGUGGUCACUUAGCAGCACUCCCCACCAGAGAUGAGUCAGAUGCUGUGCCACCUCUCCCAAGGGAUACUGCUGCAGUUGGGUUCAGAAAAUUAAUGUCAUCCAUCCUGGCACAUGAAGCUUAGAUCGUUUUUUCCCAUGCCAUGAAGGGAGAACAUAAGGAGCUCCAUUAGCCCCAGCAGCCUUUCACUGCUUGUAGACCAAAAGCGGAGGUGCUAUCCAGAAUUCAAACCACAGGCCUCUGGAUAUCUCCUUCCUCUCCAAAAUUUGCAAUUACAGAAGAGGCCUUCCUUUAAAAACUGCAAUUACCUGUGUCAGUAACAUGCCAGCAGUCAGUAGGCUCUGCACCAGCUCCUGGGAAUGUCACAACUGACCACAUCUGGAAGCCUUUCUUCUGACUUCUGUGCUCCCAUGCAGUGAAUCCUGCUCCCACGGACAGCACGGCCUCAGUGUGGGGCAGCAGGCAGAGAUGGGAAGGGUGGACACUUGCCAUCCAAAGCUUUACGAGAAAGAGAACUAAAUACUAUCACCCUUUACUGUGCCUCCUUGAGCAGCCCCACCUGAUUCCCAGGAUUCUCUCACAAGAAGUUCUUCGUUUAUUUUUCUUGUAUUUUCUUGCUUGUUGCUGUUGUUUUAUUUGUUUUCUCUUUGCUUGGAUCAAAUUUUAGUUACCAGCUCACUCUGGGCAAACAUGCUUGGCCGUGUUCAUUGAUUGUCCUCCCUUUCAGCAGCACUGGCUGACAUGGGCCUGUCCACAUCAAAGGAGCUCCUGUGCAGCAGGGAUGCUGCUGGGACAUGCCCCCAUGGGAAGAAGACUGAGUGAGUGUCCACUCAGUGCUCACCACACCUGGAGUCACCUGCCUGUGGGAUGUCACCUGGGGCUGGUUUCCACCAGCACUGAGGAGGGCUUGGAUACUCUGUCCAUUAAGUUACAAAUUGCAUCUUAGAUUUGUGUCAGUACUAGUGCUACAGAAGAAUAGGGCUGGAAGGAAAAUUGUGUUUUUCCUUGAAUUCAUUGUGUAGGAAAAUAGGGAUUAUAAUUUCAGUCUGCUCACGCUACUGUCUUCAAUCAAGAAGCAAGGGUCCCCAAACUUUGAGAGAAAAAGAUAAAACCUGGUACUAAGUAUUUAUAUAGCAAGAUGCUCUUUAGGCAAAGUUCUUCCUAAAAUCAAACUUAGUUUUGCAUGUGAGGUUCAUGAAAGAUGAGCACAAAUCUUUUCUUCUGAUGGUUUCUUUGGUGACUUUUAAAAGGAAACAGUUGCAUCCUCCCAAAAAUGCAGUGAUGGCCUUAGAAAACUAUUUCACAAGAUGUCCACAAGUUAUGAAUAUUAUUUCACAGAAUAGUCACGAUCAAAAUGGCUUAAAGAUAAAGCUAAGCAUAGAUAUUUCUCUUUCCACAUACAUCUUAAAGCUUUCAGUGUCAGUUCUAGAUGGUGGCUUAACCAAACGAUCCUUACCAUAGUGUUAGCAAAGCAGUUUAAUGGCUGUGGUUCUUAGAAAUUAGUGUAUUCUGAAUUCAGCAUUCACAUGCAAUAAAGUUAAACACAUUUUCACUAA